GUUGCCCCGUGGUGGUUGCCGCUGGUUAUAGUCGUCGUCCAGCUAUCUCUAUCGGUCAGGCUGCCGGCGCGCUGGCCGCACCCAUCAAGGCUCCCGAUUGUUGCCCUGGUCGAGCGGCUGCCAUCUGCCAGCCUGUCUGCUCUGGACAGCUGCCUCCAUCCUCGGUUUUCUUCAUCUCUUCUGGGCCAUCAACACCUAAACCAGCUCGCAAGCGCAGGCAACCCGAGAGAGCUUUUAUACCUUCAGAUGAUUCUGUUGUGCCAUAUCUAUUUCCUAGGGAAUAUUCCUAGCGAUGGCGUUGUUCUGCUGGCUGAUGACGCCCUCUCCCAUGUUUGUGAUUUCCCUACAAGUUUUCAUUUGCCAUCAAGGCGCUCUAUACGUCGAAGACUACUUACUCAGUCUGCUGGAUUUCCCCACCCGGAUCCUGUAACAGCUGCUCAAUCACGUCGAAAGCGUAAGCUUGCUAUGGCUGCCAAAUCAUCUAGAGAAAUUAAUAGUACCACUGAAAUGAUAGAGCAUCGGACGCAUAUCCAUGUGCUACAACGGAAUGUUCGACAACGAACCGGUCUGUCUCAGUCAUCCACCUUGGUUCCUAUCAAUUGUGGCCAUACACAACCUUUUGCAACUGUCGAUGGAGACCAUUUGCUCAUCAAUUCUCGCGGUUUUGCUGAUGUAAACCUGAUGCUCGACAUGUCAAAUCAGAUCACUCAUACAGUAUGA
RNAcentral lists this long non-coding RNA (720 nucleotides) under Oryza sativa tropical japonica subgroup. Its description in RNAcentral is "lncRNA OsAzu_01g0011710". Lineage: Eukaryota; Viridiplantae; Streptophyta; Magnoliopsida; Poales; Poaceae. The record is from RNAcentral.